Molecule: RNA transcript, 2141 nt
Organism: Dioscorea cayenensis subsp. rotundata (Guinea yam)
Lineage: Eukaryota; Viridiplantae; Streptophyta; Magnoliopsida; Dioscoreales; Dioscoreaceae
Exons: 7
Source: RefSeq, a predicted model, not a curated record
UUACGUGUUCCGGAGGAGCAGGAGACCGCCAUCACACCAUGACCAGUUAGGGCUUGGGUUUUUAAUAUCCGAAGUUCCAUCCCUCGUGCGAGCGAGGGAGGAAGAGAGACGGAAUCGCUGCCGUCCCUCGCGAUUAGGGUUUAAGCCUGAGUGUUGCUAUUCCAGUGUUGGUCUUGUUGGUUGCUUUGUUGAAUGGCUAGGGAAACAAGCCCGGAUAUAGAUGAUGAACUUUUUAAUGAAGUUUAUGGAAAGGAAUACACUGGUCCACCUCGGCCCACUUUUGGCAGUACAACAGUAAAAGCUCAGAAUAAAAGAUCGUCAGUUGAACUGCAAUCGGAUGAGGAUGAUGGGCCUAGAGAUCCAAAUGCUGUUCCAACGGAUUUUACUAGCCGAGAGGCUAAGGUAUGGGAGGCGAAAGCAAAGGCUACUGAACGGAACUGGAAGAAAAGAAAAGAGGAAGAAAUGAUUUGCAAAAUAUGUGGAGAAUCGGGUCACUUUACGCAGGGAUGCCCAAGUACACUUGGAGCAAACCGCAAGUCUGCAGAUUUUUUUGAGAGAGUGCCAGCAAGAGACAAGAAUGUAAGAGCACUUUUCUCCGAGAAGGUUAUCAGUCAGAUUGAGAAGGAUGUCGGAUGCAAAAUAAGAAUGGAUGAGAAAUUCCUCUUUGUCAGUGGGAGGGAUAGGCUAAUACUUGCGAAAGGUGUGGAUGCUGUGCACAAAGUGAUUCAGGAGGGGGAUAAGGAUAAAAGGAAAGGCUCUGCUAGUUCUCACAGGUCUAGAUCUAAGUCUCCAGAUGGAAACUCGGGGGGUCCUUAUUUAAGACAUGCUGAAUCCUUGAGGUCUUAUAAUAGUCCGAGAGAUACGUCAGGUUUCCAGAGUAGGAAUUUUAAUCAUGAUAGGAUUGUUGAAGACCCUAUACGCCAAGAUCAACAAAAGUUCAAGGGUUCACCGCAUGCAAGAGCUUACACUAAUGAAGGAGGAAAAGGACAACCAGCUCGUUCAAAAUCUCCACCACGCCCUGGUUUUGGUGGUGGUUCAUUCGGUUCAUAUGACGACCACAAUCGUAACAGUGGGAUGCAUGCUGCUGAUAACUGGGGCAUUGAGCGUCGGGGAGCAGAGUUCCAUUCUGAACGCAAGUUUGACUAUCCUGUUUACCCGCAAACAUUGGAAGAGCUUGAAAUGGAAUUUAAGAGGGAGGCUAUAGAAUUUGGCAGAAUUCGUGAUAAAGAAGAGGAUGAAGAGAACAACAAGCAUCGUGAGUGCAUGAGAGAACUAAAAGAGAGUUACAUGAAAAAAUUGGGUAUUAUGAGAGGCAUGCAUGCAAAGCAAUGGGAAGAAUUUCUUCAAAGAGAUUCACAGAGGCGGCAACAAGGACGGCACAAUGCUUACAAUCAACCGAGUUAUUCUGAGCACGAUCAGUCUGUCAGGAAUGUUCCGUAUAUGGGUGCUAAUUUGCCUGUGGACUCAAGGAACAGAUACCCAUAUCCUGGUGACAAUUAUUCAGCUUCCAGGUCCCAUGAUGCAUACCAUGAUUUUCAUCAUCAGAGACAUGGUGACUAUGCGAAGGAUUAUGGGCGAUACUGACUGAAGAUAGAAUCAAGGUGAGUUGACCUGUUCUAUGAAAAGUUGCUUCCAGUAGAAUAUCAAAUACUUUGAUCUAUUAUUCCCUUUACAUUUUACAAGCUGGAGCUUGACAUGAAAAUGGCAAAAGUUCAUGAUCAGAAGCCAUCGGAUUCAAAGUAGGGUGUGGUUCAAGAGUUAGCAGGGGGCCUGGGUGUUUGCUUAGUAUUUAUUGCCUCUCACUCUCCACUAUGGAAAUUUUGGUUAUCAAAGUUUGAAGAAGAUGCCGGUAAAGUUUCAGCCCGUUUAGGUGCAAGGUUUCUGUGUAGGCUGCCGUCAUGUACUCCGUGGUAAGGGUGGCGUAGACAAAGUGUUUCUCUCUUUUGACUAUUCAGGGCGAACAUUACCUGAUGACAUUGAGUUUGGUUCAUUAGAAAAUUCAAAUCACCAUGGCAUUUCUCCGGGUUGUCUGCAAUGGUUGAUGCUAUUAUUUUCAAAUAUCUAUUGCCAAAUCUGAAAUGCUCUUAUCUUGUGACUGCUCACUAAUACCAUUGAAGUAUUUCUCUAGUAAAUAAGUUUAU